This 497-nucleotide ribosomal RNA is filed under the name uncultured bacterium. Its description in RNAcentral is "partial 16S ribosomal RNA". It matches the Rfam family "Bacterial small subunit ribosomal RNA", at positions 28 to 507 of the family's 1533-position model. The record is from RNAcentral.
GAUGAACGCUGGCGGCGUGUCUAAUACAUGCAAGUCGAGCGAACGGACGAGAAGCUUGCUUCUCUGAUGUUAGCGGCGGACGGGUGAGUAACACGUGGAUAACCUACCUAUAAGACUGGGAUAACUUCGGGAAACCGGAGCUAAUACCGGAUGAUAUUUUGAACCGCAUGGUUCAAAAGUGAAAGACGGUCUUGCUGUCACUUAUAGAUGGAUCCGCGCUGCAUUAGCUAGUUGGUAAGGUAACGGCUUACCAAGGCAACGAUGCAUAGCCGACCUGAGAGGGUGAUCGGCCACACUGGAACUGAGACACGGUCCAGACUCCUAAGGGAGGCAGCAGUAGGGAAUCUUCCGCAAUGGGCGAAAGCCUGACGGAGCAACGCCGCGUGAGUGAUGAAGGUCUUCGGAUCGUAAAACUCUGUUAUUAGGGAAGAACAUAUGUGUAAGUAACUGUGCACGUCUUGACGGUACCUAAUCAGAAAGCCACGGCUAACUACGUG